RNAcentral lists this ribosomal RNA (463 nucleotides) under uncultured bacterium. RNAcentral's name for it is "partial 16S ribosomal RNA". It matches the Rfam family "Bacterial small subunit ribosomal RNA", at positions 28 to 507 of the family's 1533-position model. The record is from RNAcentral.
GACGAACGCUGGCGGCGUGCUUAACACAUGCAAGUCGAACGGAAAGGCCCUGCUUUUGUGGGGUGCUCGAGUGGCGAACGGGUGAGUAACACGUGCGUAACCUGCCCUUGACUUUGGGAUAACUUCAGGAAACUGGGGCUAAUACCGGAUAGGAGCUCCUGCUGCAUGGGGGGGGUUGGAAAGUUUCUUCGGUUGGGGAUGGACUCGCGGCUUAUUAGCUUGUGGGUGGGGUAGUGGCUUACCAAGGCUUUGACGGCUAGCUGGCCGGGGAGGGUGACCGGCCAGACUGGGACUGCGACACGGCCCAGACUCCUACGGGAGGGAGCAGUGGGGAAUAUUGGGGGAUGGGCGCAAGUGCGAUACAGCCAUGCCGGGUGAGUGAUGAAGGCCUUAGGGUUGUAAAGCUCUUUUAUCCGGGACGAUAAUGACGGUACCGGAGGAAUAAGCCCCGGCUAACUUCGUG